CACCGCCCGUCGCUACUACCGAUUGAAUGGCUCAAGUGAAGGCUUCGGGCUGGGCUCAGGGAGGGUUGGCAACGGCCGCCAGAGCCGGAAAAGUUGGUCAAAACUGGGUCAUUUAGAGGGAAGUAAAAGUCGUAACAAAGGUUUCCGUAGGUGAACCUGCGGAAG
This is a non-coding RNA of 165 nucleotides. It matches the Rfam family "Eukaryotic small subunit ribosomal RNA", at positions 1667 to 1823 of the family's 1831-position model.